CGAGCAAGCCGGGCGAUCGCUGCCUUGCCCUAGCGCUCCGCUCGGCGGGGCUGGCAGGGGCAGGGGAGAGGAAAGUCCGAACUCCGCAGGGCAGUGUGCUCGCUAACGGCGAGGGUCGAAAGGGGAGCCCCGGCCAAUCGGGGCGUACGCUUUCGGCACGGAAAGUGCCACAGAAAACAAACCGCCCGGUUUCCUUCCGCUUCGGCGAAGGGCCGGGUAAGGGUGAAAAGGUGCGGUAAGAGCGCACCGCUCCGGUAGCGAUAUCGGAGGCACGGUAAACCCCACACGGAGCAAGACCAAAUAGGGGAGGAGGAGUGACCCGCUCCGCAAUCCUCUGUAGCGCCGUUCUACGAACGGCGAAUCGCUGGUUCCAAUCGACCGCGCCGCUCUGGCGGCGGAUCGCUGGUUCUGAUCGACGCCGGUCAUAGACCGGCGCUACAGGGGGCAACUCCCGGGUAGGUCGCUCGAUCCCGGCAGCAAUGCCGGGGCUAGAGGAAUGAUCGCCGCCCCGAUCGCUUCGGGGCACAGAAUUCGGCUUACAGGCUUGCUCGCGCC
RNAcentral lists this RNase P RNA (555 nucleotides) under Terriglobia bacterium. RNAcentral's name for it is "RNase P RNA component class A". It matches the Rfam family "Bacterial RNase P class A". Rfam says of the family: Ribonuclease P (RNase P) is a ubiquitous endoribonuclease, found in archaea, bacteria and eukarya as well as chloroplasts and mitochondria. Its best characterised activity is the generation of mature 5'-ends of tRNAs by cleaving the 5'-leader elements of precursor-tRNAs. Cellular RNase Ps are ribonucleoproteins. The record is from RNAcentral. Lineage: Bacteria; Pseudomonadati; Acidobacteriota; Terriglobia.